GAAAUGCGAUAAGUAAUGUGAAUUGCAGAAUUCCGUGAAUCAUCGAAUCUUUGAACGCACAUUGCGCCCUCUGGUAUUCCGGGGGGCAUGCCUGUCCGAGCGUCAUUGCAAACCCCUCAAGCACGGCUUGUGUGAUGGGCCCUCCCGCGUCUUGGUCGUCAAGACGGGCCCGAAAUGCAGUGGCGGCUUCGCGGUUAUCCGAUCAGCCAGAGCGUAUGGGGACUUUCUCUCUGUCACACGCCCGCGGCGCGGACCGACGCCUGUCGACCUUCAUUCAUCGUUUUCUCGGUUGACCUCGGAUCAGGUAGGGAUACCCGCUGAACUUAAGC
Molecule: unclassified non-coding RNA, 329 nt
Filed under: plant metagenome
Description: partial contains 5.8S ribosomal RNA, internal transcribed spacer 2, and large subunit ribosomal RNA
Rfam family: 5.8S ribosomal RNA (bases 1-105)
Source: RNAcentral